This 1186-nucleotide long non-coding RNA is filed under the name Salmo salar (Atlantic salmon). RNAcentral's name for it is "lncRNA (ENSSSAG00000116568.1)". The record is from RNAcentral. Lineage: Eukaryota; Metazoa; Chordata; Actinopteri; Salmoniformes; Salmonidae.
AGGUGUAGUUGUAGGUGUAGUUGCAGAUGUAGUUGUAGGUGUAGUUGCAGUUGUUGGUGUAGGUGUAGUUGCAGUUGUUGGUGUAGUUGUAGGAGUAGGUGUAGUUGUAGGUGUAGUUGUUGGUGUAGGUGUAGUUGUAGGUGUAGUUGUAGGUGUAGACGUAGGUUUAGGUGUAGUUGCAGGAGUGGGUGUAGUUUUAGGUGUAGGUGUAGUUGUAGGUGUAGUUGUAGUUGUAGGUGUAGUUGUAGGUGUAGUUGUAGGUGUAGUUGUAGGUGUAAGUUUAGUUGUAGGUGUAGUUGUAUGUGUAGUUGUAGGAGUAGGUGUAGGUGUAGUUGUUGGUGUAGGUGUAAUUGUAGGUGUAGAUGUAGGAGUAGGUGUAGGUGUAGUUUUAGGCAUAGUUGUAGGAGUAGGCGUAGGUGUAGUUGUUGGUGUAGGUGUAGUUCUAGGCUUAGUUGUAGGAGUAGGUGUAGGUGUAGUUGUAGGUGUAGUUGCAGGAGUGGGCGUAGUUGUAGUUGUUGGUGUAGGCGUAGUUGUUGCUGUAGGUGUAGGUGUAGUUUUAGGCAUAGCUGUAGGAGUAGGUGUAGGUGUAGUUGUUGGUGUAGGUGUAUUUGUAGGUGUAGAUUUAGGAGUUGGUGUAGGUGUAGUUGUAGGUGUAGGUGUAGUUGCAGGAGUGGGCGUAGUUGUAGGUGUAGGCGUAGUUGUAGGCGUAGUUGUAGGCGUAGUUGUAGGUGUAGUUGUAGGAGUAGGCGUAGUUGUAGGUGUAGUUGUAGGCGUAGUUGUAGUUGUAGGUGUAGGUGUAGUUGUAGUUGUAGGUGUAGGUGUAGUUUUAGGCAUAGUUGUAGUUGUAGGUGUAGUUUUAGGUGUAGGUGUAGUUAUAGUUGUAGGUGUAGUUGUAGGUGUAGUUGUAGGUGUUGUUGUAGGACCAAAGAUGCAGAAGAAAACCCUAUACUUUAAUGGUUGUCGUAGGCCACUUCAGCACAACAGUUUGAUUUGAUUUGGGUGUGAACUAACUAACCGUGAAGUUGCUAUUUGAAGAAGGAAAGAAACAUGCCUUCAGACCUCUCUUGUUACCAUGGGGUCAAGGCUCCAGCAACUUGAGUGUUGAACCGUUGUCUGCAAGAGGGUGUGUGUGAGCAUGUGUGUGUGUGCGUUUGUGUGUGUGUGUGUGUGUGUGUGCGGCUCACUG